AAGUCGUAACAAGGUUUCCGUAGGUGAACCUGCGGAAGGAUCAUUAACACGUAUCCAACGUUAAACAACCCUGUGAACUUUCAACCGCUCUUGUAGCCCACGCGGAACAGCAAUCCCGGUAAAUCAAUUGGAGAAAAGGUUUUGAUUCGGGACCUCUGUCCAUCAGGCUACAAUCGAGCUAGGAGCAGUGGCAUGGUUUCCCUAAGCAGUGCAGAAGGAUCCACUGAGUAAGGAUAACGCCUCACGGUUGCCAGAGGUCGAUCACCGGCCGGCAGACAUUCACACCUUGCCCUAUCUGGCCCCACGGAAACGUUGGGGCACAAACCGAACAACUGUUAACAAUGGAUAUCUUGGUUCUC
RNAcentral lists this unclassified non-coding RNA (359 nucleotides) under fungal sp. RNAcentral describes it as "partial internal transcribed spacer region". The stretch from base 1 to 46 matches the Rfam family "Eukaryotic small subunit ribosomal RNA", at positions 1786 to 1831 of the family's 1831-position model. The record is from RNAcentral. Lineage: Eukaryota; Fungi.